This 883-nucleotide ribosomal RNA is filed under the name uncultured bacterium. RNAcentral describes it as "bacterial SSU rRNA". It matches the Rfam family "Bacterial small subunit ribosomal RNA", at positions 68 to 949 of the family's 1533-position model. The record is from RNAcentral.
AGCACGAUGUAGCAAUACAUUGGUGGCGACCGGCGCACGGGUGAGUAACGCGUAUGCAACCUACCUAUCAGAGGGGAAUAACCCGGCGAAAGUCGGACUAAUACCGCAUAAAACAGGGGUUCCACAUGGAAAUAUUUGUUAAAGAAUUAUCGCUGAUAGAUGGGCAUGCGUUCCAUUAGAUAGUUGGUGAGGUAACGGCUCACCAAGUCCACGAUGGAUAGGGGUUCUGAGAGGAAGGUCCCCCACACUGGUACUGAGACACGGACCAGACUCCUACGGGAGGCAGCAGUGAGGAAUAUUGGUCAAUGGGCGAGAGCCUGAACCAGCCAAGUCGCGUGAAGGAUGAAGGAUCUAUGGUUUGUAAACUUCUUUUAUAUGGGAAUAAAGUGAGGAACGUGUUCCUUUUUGUAUGUACCAUAUGAAUAAGCAUCGGCUAACUCCGUGCCAGCAGCCGCGGUAAUACGGAGGAUGCGAGCGUUAUCCGGAUUUAUUGGGUUUAAAGGGUGCGUAGGUGGUUAAUUAAGUCAGCGGUGAAAGUUUGUGGCUCAACCAUAAAAUUGCCGUUGAAACUGGUUGACUUGAGUAUAUUUGAGGUAGGCGGAAUGCGUGGUGUAGCGGUGAAAUGCAUAGAUAUCACGCAGAACUCCGAUUGCGAAGGCAGCUUACUAAACUAUAACUGACACUGAAGCACGAAAGCGUGGGGAUCAAACAGGAUUAGAUACCCUGGUAGUCCACGCAGUAAACGAUGAUUACUAGCUGUUUGCGAUACACAGUAAGCGGCACAGCGAAAGCGUUAAGUAAUCCACCUGGGGAGUACGCCGGCAACGGUGAAACUCAAAGGAAUUGACGGGGGCCCGCACAAGCGGAGGAACAUGUGGUUUAA